CCUCAACUGACCUGACUGCCUGGGCCAGAGAUGCCCUGUCUUUGUCCUGCGUCUGUCUGGGUUACUCAGUAGGCACUUUCUUCGUGUUUUGCAUCUUAUACUCAGCUCAUUAGUGUAUAAUAAAAUACUUACCGAGAAGCUCCUAUGUGACAGGGAGUUGGAAGAUAUAAUGAGUGCUGCUGAAACUUUCACCUGAGAGGAGGAUUUCAGAUUUCUCGAUUCUGCCCCCGCAACGAGUUGCUUCUCUUCUUUCUCUGCACAGUCUUCACUUUCAUGAAGCCAAAUGCCUCCUUGCAAUUCAGCUCCUGGUUUUGAGUGUGUAAGGAAGACACACGCUUCUCGUGAAAUUCUGGAGAAUGUCUCCGGACUGCGUGGGAAGCUUAUGAACCAGAGGUGCCUGUACUGACAGAAGCCUGUGAGCAAAGAGGGUUCCGAGAACUGGUUAGCUCUUUCUAGCCGGGAAUAUUAAGCUGUAAAGAACAAGGAAAUGGAGGGAGCAUUCACAUAUGUACUGCAGUUGGCAUGGGGGUCUCCUUGGAGAGGCUUCCUGUGGGCAACUAUGGGUGCAUUCAGUAGGGACAUUUAGAUAACUAAGAUGAGCCCUGGAACAACCAAAAUAGAGUCAAUGUAAUAAAACACUCUCUGAUUCUGGGACACGUCCCCCUCGUCUCUGAAAGGAAACACUUGGCUUCAGUUUGGCUCAGCAAUGUAACACCUUUUCUCCCGGCUUAGAACCAGCUCUUAGCAAGCAGAGUGGGUGGCUUUUGUGUGAUACCAUGGGCACUAGUAACGCCUCAGGCUGAAGUCCCGGCCUGAUAGGUUAUGCCCUUAACCUUCUAAAACCAGAAACGAGAGGAAAGAAACCACAGAAGGAAACUGUAGAAACUCAACCCCAGGGGAGGCGAGCAUUACCUUCAUAAUUUAUUGCAAACAGUGCCUAUUUUGUUUCCAAAGUGUUUUAAAUUAAACUUAGUUGUGUAUCAUUUGGAAUGUAAAUAUUCAUCCUCAAAAGUGAGUAGCAGGGAGUAUGGACUGUCUGAGUAACCACAGUGUGUGUGUCUGAGCUUUGUGACAAGUCUACUAUGCCUUCUUGAUGCUGGGCUACAAUUAAAGCAUGUUCUAAAAAAAGUAAAAAAUGCACUUAGAUGUUAGUAAGUAUGAGCUAAGUAAUUUUGGAAACUUUGGUGUGCAUUUUAGAGAUUGAGAUUUUCAUUUACAUAUAUCAGUUGAUUCUUCAGAAGCAAUUUAAAUAACUUAAGACUGUUUUUUAAACAUAAUCUUAUCUCUAAAGCCCAAGGUAGAGGUCAAAAUGCAAAUAUUUGAGGCUGUGAUGUGAUGGUCACUAUGUAUCCAGUUUGUAAUCCUCCAUAUAACUGAUGUAUUAGUAUUUUAUCUAAACAUCUUGCUGUGGGUAUGUGAAGCAGGCCCACAGAACAGAACUAAUGAACACCUGAGACCGUGCCAGUGUGUUCAUUUAAAAUGCGCUGCACCUUGUUCUGACACUCGAUUUGUUGUAGAUAUUUGAUCCUCUUGAGGCUUGCUUUUAAGCUCUGUUAGGGUGGGGCCAGAGGAGUUUUUAAUCCAGGAUUAAUUUCUCACCUUAGUAGUGCCCCACUAUGGAGGAGAAACUUCUGAGGACUCUACCCGAGGCCCACGUAUUACAAAGUCUUUUCAUUCCGGCUGGUGGACACGGACUCUGUUUCCAGCCCGCGUGAGCUCCAAGAAUUGCUUGGCCUGAGGCUUUCCAGAUUUCUUUCUCCCGUGCAUUUGCUGAAUAGUACUCAGCCAAAGAGCAUGUGCAGCCUCCAGCACCCUGUCUUCGUGCAACUCUCCUCUCUCUCUUAUUCUUUCUCAUACAUUUUAGACGACCCCGCCUCAUUGAACCUCAGUCUCUGUCCCCUCAAUUCAAUGAGACUGACAGGCUCCCCCUGCUGGGCUGCAGCCUGAGCACUCUGUCUAGGCAAGAAGAAGCUGGAGCAAUCACAGGUGUCUCAUCACUUUCCCCUUCUCUCAGGCAUCUUGGGCCUGCACAUCUGCUGGCCAAUGCCCUAAACGGUUAUUUUUCCAUAUGUUUUGAUAUUUUGCCUGUUUUUCUAGUUGUUCAUGGUGGGAGGACAAUUUCCAUAACAGUAAUCCUUUGUGGGCAGACAGAGAAUCCCGUCUAGCGUAGUUUUGCAUUUGCUUCCCUGAGGCCCCGGACCUCGACCAUUUUUAUGGGAAUUCUUGGCUUGAGAUUGUUACCAUGUGGUGCUGUAAAUUUGCACCCCACAAACAUGCAGUACUAGUUUGAGGAAUCCAUUAAAUUUUCUUCCAUCCAGAACCGCCCCCAGGCAGAUGGAAAGCUUCUGUAUAGCUUCUCUAUGUCAGUUGGUGAUAUUUUUACUAUUCCCAUUUUUGUUUUGACUAAGCCACUCUUUGUGCAUCUCAGAUUUGUGCAGGCAUCUUGGGUACCAACUCACUACCUUGAACAAUCCAGGUCUACAUCUCUCAUUCUGGCAUGUGUAUUAAAACUCCAGUCCCAGAUCUUAGAGGCUAUAUCUAGGCAAAAAUUAGUAUUUCUGCAUUAUGUAGGCUGUGCAUAUUUGAUUUUCAUGUACUUGAAAUGUCUUAGCCUAGUGACUAAGUCCAAUUUUUUUUUUUUUUUUUUGACAGAGUAUCACUCUGUCUUCCAGGCUGGAGUGCAGUGGUGCAAUCACAGCUCACUGCAGCCUUGACCUCCCAGGCUCAAGCGAUCCUCCUGCUUCAGCCUCCCGAGUAGCUGGAACUACAGGCUCGUGCCACCACCCCCAGCUAAUUUUGGAUUUUUUGUAGAGAUGGGCUUUCACCAUGUUCUCCAGGCUAGUCUCAAACUCCUGGGCUCGAGUGAUCCUCCUGCCUGGGCUUCCCAAAGUGCUGGGAUUACAGGUGUAAGCCACUGCACCCAGCCUCCAGCUUUGUGAUUCCAAUGUAAAAUGUUUAAUUGACUGUGAUUUUAUGUUCAUCUUACUAGGUUUAUAUACAAUAUGAGAAUAUUUAUGAAAACUCCAAAUUUUCUGUAUUUAUAUACUUAGUUUAGUAGAUAAAGUUAUUUAAGUUCUUGAGACAGUUUUGUUUAAGUCAGACAAUAGUAGUCCUUAAAGUGGAGAGAAAAUAUAUUAAUUUAUAAAUAAAGCUUAACAAAUUAAAGGGAAUUAAGUUAUGCUAUAAAAAGCAGCCUUAAACUUAAUGUUCUUCAAUAGUCAGAUUUUUAAAUGGAAAAAUAAUGUUUUAAAGUUGAACUUC
Molecule: long non-coding RNA, 3261 nt
Filed under: Homo sapiens (human)
Lineage: Eukaryota; Metazoa; Chordata; Mammalia; Primates; Hominidae
Description: HSALNT0247066
Source: RNAcentral